UGGCGGCGUGCCUAACACAUGCAAGUCGAACGAGAAAGUGGAGCAAUCCAUGAGUACAGUGGCGUACGGGUGAGUAACACGUGACUAACCUACCCUCGAGUGGGGAAUAACUUCGGGAAACCGAGGCUAACACCGCAUAAUGUCUACGGACCAAAUGCGUAAGCAGCUUGAGGAGGGGGUCGCGGCUGAUUAGCUUGUUGGCGGGGUAACGGCCCACCAAGGCAAUGAUCAGUAGCCGGCCUGAGAGGGCGCACGGCCACACUGGAACUGAAACACGGUCCAGACUCCUACGGGAGGCAGCAGUGGGGAAUUUUGCGCAAUGGGGGAAACCCUGACGCAGCAACGCCGCGUGGAGGAUGAAGCCCCUUGGGGUGUAAACUCCUUUCGAUCGGGACGAUUAUGACGGUACCGGAUGAAGAAGCACCGGCUAACUCUGUGCCAGCAGCCGCGGUAAUACAGAGGGUGCAAGCGUUGUUCGGAAUUAUUGGGCGUAAAGGGUGCGUANGCGGUGCGGUAAGUCUUCUGUGAAACCUCCGGGCUUAACUCGGAGCCUGCAGGGGAAACUGCCGUGCUGGAGUAUGGGAGAGGUGA
RNAcentral lists this ribosomal RNA (591 nucleotides) under uncultured bacterium. Its description in RNAcentral is "bacterial SSU rRNA". It matches the Rfam family "Bacterial small subunit ribosomal RNA", at positions 37 to 660 of the family's 1533-position model. The record is from RNAcentral.